Molecule: ribosomal RNA, 468 nt
Filed under: uncultured bacterium
Lineage: Bacteria
Description: partial 16S ribosomal RNA
Rfam family: Bacterial small subunit ribosomal RNA
Source: RNAcentral
GAUGAACGCUGGCGGCGUGCCUAACACAUGCAAGUCGAGCGAUUUACUUCGGUAAAGAGCGGCGGACGGGUGAGUAACGCGUGGGUAACCUGCCCUGUACACACGGAUAACAUACCGAAAGGUAUGCUAAUACGAGAUAAUAUGCUUUUAUCGCAUGGUAGAAGUAUCAAAGCUUUUGCGGUACAGGAUGGACCCGCGUCUGAUUAGCUAGUUGGUAAGGUAACGGCUUACCAAGGCGACGAUCAGUAGCCGACCUGAGAGGGUGAUCGGCCACAUUGGAACUGAGACACGGUCCAAACUCCUACGGGAGGCAGCAGUGGGGAAUAUUGCACAAUGGGCGAAAGCCUGAUGCAGCAACGCCGCGUGAGCGAUGAAGGCCUUCGGGUCGUAAAGCUCUGUCCUCAAGGAAGAUAAUGACGGUACUUGAGGAGGAAGCCCCGGCUAACUACGUGCCAGCCGCCGCAGUAA